GGUGAGUAAUGCCUAGGAAUCUGCCUGGUAGUGGGGGAUAACGCUCGGAAACGGACGCUAAUACCGCAUACGUCCUACGGGAGAAAGCAGGGGACCUUCGGGCCUUGCGCUAUCAGAUGAGCCUAGGUCGGAUUAGCUAGUUGGUGAGGUAAUGGCUCACCAAGGCGACGAUCCGUAACUGGUCUGAGAGGAUGAUCAGUCACACUGGAACUGAGACACGGUCCAGACUCCUACGGGAGGCAGCAGUGGGGAAUAUUGGACAAUGGGCGAAAGCCUGAUCCAGCCAUGCCGCGUGUGUGAAGAAGGUCUUCGGAUUGUAAAGCACUUU
RNAcentral lists this ribosomal RNA (328 nucleotides) under Vibrio sp. I7Ma2. RNAcentral describes it as "bacterial SSU rRNA". It matches the Rfam family "Bacterial small subunit ribosomal RNA", at positions 105 to 436 of the family's 1533-position model. Lineage: Bacteria; Pseudomonadati; Pseudomonadota; Gammaproteobacteria; Vibrionales; Vibrionaceae. The record is from RNAcentral.